UUAUAAUGCACUAAACUUUAUAUAAUUCACAAAAUGAAACUAUUCAUAAACAUUUACAAUCUAAAUUAAUUGUCCUUGUCCAACAAGCUAGUAAUAUCCAUAAAAGCAAAAUAGUUUAAUCCAAGUGCAUAAGUUUUACAAUUUAAGAGUUAGCAUAAGUUUCAAAAUGUUUGAUCACAAAAGAUUCCUAGAACAUCUAAAUUUUCAGCAAUAAAUCAGAAACUCUUCUUAAGGAAGGUCAAGAUCUUCAUCGCUUUCGUCUUCUUUUUCAUCAUUUUCUCCACCUACAAAACAACAACAACCCAGUAUAAUCCCACUAGUGGAGUUUGGGGAGGGUAGUGUGUACGCAGACUUUACCCCUACCCUAGGAUAGAGAGGCUGUUUCCGAUAGACCCUCGGCUCCCUCCCUCCAAGAAUUCCCCACAACCUCUUGGUUGGAAGUGGAGGGUGCUCACCACUAGAGCAACCCACUCUUGUCUCCACCUACAAAAGAGGAUAAAUAAAGUCAUUAUUACCUUCAAGCGCUAGUUGAUAAUUUAAGCAAAAAUGAGGAAACUUAAGUACUAAUGAAGCUUAAAGGGCAUCCAGACAAGAGUCUCAAUAAUGCUCAUACAAAUCAUAAUGGAAGAAGUUUUUCAUGCCAGCAGAAAACAAGCAAAUAGCAAAGAAUUGAGUCAUUAAAUCCUCCCUCAAUGUGCUCAACUAGUUCGAUGGAGUUCACAUCUGUUAACACAACAGAAACUCCUAAGCUGAGGUGGAAGUCUAAUAUUAACAGCAAAUUAACGCAUACAAUUUCCAAAUUAACGCAUACAGUUUCCAACAAGUCCAAUUGUUGUAAGUAAUAGUGACUAACACAAGUCUAUGGCUAUACUAAAUAGUCUAGAAUGUUUGCAGGCAAUGCAAUGUCACACAUCCAUAAAGACAAUUAUGUUAGCAACACAUCUUUUUAACUUCAUUAGUAAUCUGGGAGUAUUUGAGAUAUGUAGGCUACAAACCAUAUCCAUUGUUGAAUAUCACAAUCUAUGUCAUCCAAUUAUAUUAGAAAUAAUAAGAAAAUAAAUUUUAUAAACAGGAUGGCCACGCAUGAUUUUCUUCGGGCAAAAAAGAAGAUAAAUUUCUAAGUCAAUCAACUAUAUGAUUUAAUAUGAUGGAAAAAGUGAGAAAUAUUUCUCAGUACCAAAAAGAAGGUUAUUUCAUGCAACAGAAAGACACUUGAUACGGAUAUUUCACACAAAGGGACAACAAGUAUACUUGGGUAAAUCACAAGUAAAUAUUAUUUCACAAAACAAGAAAUAAUGUUGUCGACAAUAUGCCAUGAUUUUCCGGCAAAUCGAAGGAAGAAUAGAGAAUUGACCGCAGAAAUAAGUUACUUAUGAAUGCCUAUUUACUUUCUCUUUAGACAAACAAAGAGAAAUUGCAAAAUAAACUAUACGUUCUAAUAUCCAGGUUGGUAGUCAUGUCAUGAAUGAUAUUUGAAUUGAAUGAGGUACUUUGAUAUUCUUUAUAAAAAUAUAAAGCAAGUCAUCAAGCAAAAUCAUACAAGAAAAGGACCUUAAAAGAAAUCCUUCAGACUAUUCUAAAAGCUUUUCAGAUGAUCUAAAUACUGAAGUGCACACAUUAUACAAGGGAAAAAAACAGAAUAAUAAAGUUUCACCUUCACUCUUUUAUCAGCAUGAGUUUAUUGAAACAUGUAUGCAUAAUGGGUAUAGAAAAUCCAAAGAAUAUUCAAACCAUAUUCUGUCCAUUAACCAGAAGAGCCAGAACCUGUUCAAUAAAUAACCCCUUCUUGCAAUGUUUAUUCCAUUUAUCAAUAUCUCCCUGCCAACUUUAGUCUAUUUUAAUCAUUAAGGCCUUUGCCUUACCAACAUCCAAUUGUAAAGGUAAGCACUCUUACAGCAAUUUGUUUCACACAGAUUCUCAAACAAUAAUUUAAUUAAAAAUGGAGUACUCAACAGCUGUUUAAACGUACUUGAUUUCCACUAUAAGAAUCUAAAAGAUUUUCUUUAAUAUUCAAAUUAUAAAGUACUUGAAGAUCAUGUUAUAGCAAUGUUGGACAAGAAAGAGCACGCUAAAAUUGAACAAAAAAAAGAGCAAAAAACAGGAAAAAAGCAAGACAUUGAAGUUUAUUUUUUGUUGGAAUUAAAGUGACUAUUCAUCCUUCUUGGCACCAUAGUUAGAAGAUUAAAUAGAGAAUUGACUCAAAAUAUUCCUAAGUUCCUAACCUUGAAUCAGUUUAAUCUCUCACAAAUAAUACAUAAUCAGAACACAUACGAAACUAGUAUUGUAUACAUAUAUGGAAACUGCAUCCACUAUUUCCCCUCAGAAUAAAAGAAAGAUCACAACAACAAAGUGAUUUUAAAUUGUUUGUUUUGAAAAAAGUGAUCAAACUCGACUAAAAAAGAAGAAGAAAAGAAAAAGGUGAUUGAUCUGACCAUGUAUGAUAUAUUUAGAAUAAAAAUUUAACUAUAUACUAUCAUAAAAGAAAAAAGAGUUACAACAAAGAUUAAUCUUUCAAUAAGAGUAAAGAUUAUGUCCUUUAUAAAAGUAAAAGAAUGUUAAUUUUUGUAAAUAGGGGUUAUCAUACAUGGAAGUACAAUGAAAGUCCACAUAAAAGUUCACCAACAAAAGUUUAAUUAGAAAGAUAACAAUUACCAAGAGUACAGUAGAUUGAAGUUAUGGUUAACAUGGACAGCUGAUGGAAGAUUGACAGAAGAGCUUCCGAUCAUAAACUGGAUAGCCGAUCUCUCAGGUUGAAGUUUCAAAUUCCGGGGAACAAAGUCGGGUUCUGUAGAGUUUUGAUGGACCUCCUCAAACUCAAUUCCAUUCGACCUUAAAAUAUUAAACUUUAAAAUGUGAUCUUAAUGGUAAUCAAGCAAUUAAGCCAGAAAUCGAGCAAUUCCACAAACAUCAUUUAAACUACCGGUGCAAACCCUACUGAUUGUCAAUUCAAUCAGACUGUAUCACUCAAAUACCCCCAUAUAUAAAAAUAAAAAUAAAAAUAAACAAAGAACCGGGUAACAAGGAACAUUAAAACUGAAAUCUUCAUUCAAACACACAACCAACGAAUGUGGUUAUCCCAAAUUUAUUAAAAAAAUAAUAAAAAUUUACAGUGGUUUCUCCCACAGCUGCAAGCGACAAUUUUCAGCGAGGAAUGGGAUCGAAGAGAUGGAAGAAACUUUGGUUGAGUGUCUUUUUUUUGCUAUUUCUUGGAGUCAAACUCUCGUCUUCCUCUUCCUUCUUUCAAGUCCUAUUUCUAAUCAAAACCCUAAUCGAACAAUCACAGAAAUCUUAAUCGCUUAUCUUUUGCAAAUUUCAAUCAAUUAACACUAUGGCAACCAGCGAAAACAAGAAUAUGAACGCCAAAUUGGUUCUCACCUUUGAUUUAUCAAUUUUGGUUAUGGGUUGAGGUUUAAUUCCAUAAGGCCUCCUCUUUUUGCCUUAUAUAUAUGGUCUGGGUCUUCUUUUCGGGUUUAUAUUUGCUGUGGCCCGUGAGAAUCUGUUCUAAUCUAU
This 3510-nucleotide long non-coding RNA is filed under the name Nicotiana tabacum (common tobacco). RNAcentral's name for it is "long non-coding RNA (NTAB_LNC008907)". Lineage: Eukaryota; Viridiplantae; Streptophyta; Magnoliopsida; Solanales; Solanaceae. The record is from RNAcentral.